This 566-nucleotide long non-coding RNA is filed under the name Brachypodium distachyon (stiff brome). RNAcentral's name for it is "long non-coding RNA (BDIS_LNC001018)". The record is from RNAcentral. Lineage: Eukaryota; Viridiplantae; Streptophyta; Magnoliopsida; Poales; Poaceae.
GAGGGUGCAAGUUCAACUCUGCAAGAAUCCACUACUGUGAUUGUCCAACAUCACAAGGAGGAGCUCAUGGAAGCCUGUCAUGGAUCAAAUGGAUCAAGUAUGCUGGAUAAUGUCCUGGCCGGUUCUCCUUUGGUCACCGAGGGUGCACAUCCAACUUUGCAGGAACCCACUUCUGUAAUUGGCCAACACCAGAGGGAAGAGCUCAUGGAUGCCUGUCAUGGAUCAAAUGGAUCAAGUAUACUGGAUAAUGUCCUGGCCGAUCCUCCUUUGGUCACUGAGGGUGCACAUCCAACUUUGCAGGAACCCACUACUGUAUUUGGCCAACACCAGGGGGAAGAGCUCACGGAUGCCUGUCAUGGAUCAAAUGGACCAAGUAUACUGGAUAAUGUCCUGGCCGAUCCUCCUUUGGUCACUGAGGGUGCACAUCCAACUUUGCAGGAACCCACUACUGUAAUUGGCCAGCACCAGAGGGAGGAGCUCACGGCUACCUGUCAUGGAUCAAAUAGACCCAAUGUCCUGGACAAUGUAUUGGCUGAUCCUCCUUUGGUCACUGAUGGUGCCGCCAC